GAUGAACGCUGGCGGCGUGCCUAAUACAUGCAAGUCGAGCGAACGGACGAGAAGCUUGCUUCUCUGAUGUUAGCGGCGGACGGGUGAGUAACACGUGGAUAACCUACCUAUAAGACUGGGAUAACUUCGGGAAACCGGAGCUAAUACCGGAUGAUAUUUUGAACCGCAUGGUUCAAAAGUGAAAGACGGUCUUGCUGUCACUUAUAGAUGGAUCCGCGCUGCAUUAGCUAGUUGGUAAGGUAACGGCUUACCAAGGCAACGAUGCAUAGCCGGCCUGAGAGGGUGAUCGGCCACACUGGAACUGAGACACGGUCCAGACUCCUACGGGAGGCAGCAGUAGGGAAUCUUCCGCAAUGGGCGAAAGCCUGACGGAGCAACGCCGAGUGAGUGAUGAAGGUCUUCGGAUCGUAAAACUCUGUUAUUAGGGAAGAACAUAUGUGUAAGUAACUGUGCACAUCUUGACGGUACCUAAUCAGAAAGCCACGGCUAACUACGU
RNAcentral lists this ribosomal RNA (496 nucleotides) under uncultured bacterium. RNAcentral describes it as "partial 16S ribosomal RNA". It matches the Rfam family "Bacterial small subunit ribosomal RNA", at positions 28 to 506 of the family's 1533-position model. The record is from RNAcentral.